RNAcentral lists this long non-coding RNA (2105 nucleotides) under Solanum pimpinellifolium. Its description in RNAcentral is "long non-coding RNA (SPIM_LNC000173)". The record is from RNAcentral. Lineage: Eukaryota; Viridiplantae; Streptophyta; Magnoliopsida; Solanales; Solanaceae.
GAUCUGUCCAAAUUCAAAGCCCGUCAAAGGCAUAUGAAAUCAUGCGAAGGAUUUGAGCCCAUCGAAAUGAUGUUCAGGGGGCUAAACCCAAGUAGCUUUGGCUCAUGAUCCAAGAGACCCGAAACUCGUUAAUCAUGCUAUCCUUACCUUCUAACUAACCUCUUCGAGUUUGCUUACCCUAACACUGAUUGAUUAGGCGUAACUGUUGAAGCAGGUUAUGCAGAGGUUGUUCACACAGGCAAUGUGACUUCACUUUGUAGUUAGUUUGCUCAUUAAACAGGAGUGUAUAGUACUCAACUGCGAAAAACUAAAAAAAUGGUGCUUAUCAUCAAAUUCGUGCCGCAUGGCGAGAUUACUCUACUUCUACUCUAUAAAUAGAAAGAUAUCCAUAACAAUGAUGAUAAAGUUUGCCAUACCUUUCUAAUUGCCCAAUUUGACACUAACACCAUUGGCUACACCACGAGCAUCUUGUGCCUCAAUAUUCACAGUCUUGACGCUAGAGAUAGUUGGGGCUAUGAACUCUAGUCUCUUUGUUGGGACCUCAAUCAAAAUUGUGACUUGCUCCUUUGUCCAAAUUCUGAGCCCGUCAUCAAAGCAAGCCCAAGUCCAUGCAAGAAGGCCCUCCAGAUCUGUCCAAAUACAAAGCCCAUCAGCAUAUGAAAUCAUGCAAAAGAUCCAAGCCCAACCAAAUGAUGUUCAAGGGAAACCCAAGUAGCUCUGGCUCAUAAUCCAACAGACCCGAAACUCAUUAAUCAUGCUAUCCUUACCUUCUAACUAGCCUCUUCGAUUUCUUUUAUCCUAACAGUGAUUAAUUAGGUGUAACUGUUGAAGCUGGUUAUCCAGAGGUUGUUCACACAGGCAGUGUGACUGGACUUUGUAGUUAGUAUGCUCUAAACAGGCAUGUAUAGCACUCAACUGCAAAAAACUAAUAAAAAUGGUGCCUAUCAUCAAAUUCAUGCCAUAUGGCGGGAUUACUCUACUUCUACUCUAUAAAUAGAAAGAUAUCCUUAAUAAAGAUAUUUAUAACAAUGAUGGGAAAGUUUGCCAUAGCUUUCUAAUUACCCAAUUUGACACUAACACCAUUGGCUACACCACAAGCAUUUUGUGCCUCGAUAUUCACAAUUUGAUGCUAGAGUUAGUUGGGGCAAUGAACUCUAGUCUCCCUGUUGUGACCUCGAUCAAAAUUAUGAGUUGCUCCUCUGUCUAAAUUCAAAGCCGGUCAUCAAAGCAAGCGCAAGUCCAUGCAAGAAGGCCCUCCAAAUCAGUAGAAAUUCAAAGCCCGUCAAAGGCAUAUGAAAUCAUGCAAAGGAUCCGAGCCAAUCCAAAUGAUGUUCAGGGGGCUAAACACAAGUAGCUCUGGCUUAUGAUCCAAGAUACCCAAAGCUCGUCAAUCAUGCUAUCCUAACCUUCUAACUAACCUCUUCGAUUUCGCUUAUCCUAACAGUGAUUGAUUAAGCGUAAUUAUUGAAGCUGGUUAUGCAGACGUUGUUCACACAGGCAAUCUGGCUUCACUUUGUAGUUAAUUUGCUCAUUAAACAGGCAUGUAUAGUACUCGACUGUGAAAAAAUCAUAAACAUGGUGUCUAUCAUCAAAUUCGUGCCCCAUGAUGGGAUUACUCUACUUCUACUCUAUAAAUAGAAAGAUAUCCAUAACAAUGAUGGUAGAGUUUGCCAAACUUUUCUAAUUGCCCAAUUUGACACUAACACCAUUGGCUACACCACGAGCAUCUUGUGCCUUGAUAUUCACAGUCUUGAUGCUAGAGUUAGUCGGGGCAAUGAAUUUUAGUCUUUUUGUUGUGACCUCAAUCAAAAUUGUGACUUGCUCCUUUGUCCAAAUACAAAGCCCGUCAUCAAUGCAAGUCCAAGUCCAUGAAAGAAGGCCCUCCAUAUCUGUCCAAAUUCAAAGUCGGUGAAAGGCAUUUGAAAUCAUGCAAAGGAUCCGAGCCCAUCCAAAUGUUGUUCAGGGGGCUAAACCCAAGUAGCUCUAGCUCAUGAUCCAAGAGACCCGAAACUAGUUAAUCAUGUUAUCCUUACCUUCUAACAAACCUCUUCAAUUUCGCUUAUCCUAACAGUGAUUGAUUAGGCGUAACUGUUGAAGCUGGUUAU